Molecule: non-coding RNA, 79 nt
Organism: Schistosoma haematobium
Lineage: Eukaryota; Metazoa; Platyhelminthes; Trematoda; Strigeidida; Schistosomatidae
Source: Rfam
AACCUUCUCAAUCCGUGUAGAGAUUUCGUCAAACACCAGACCACCAGUACUGAUGAGACUCGGUAGGAUACGGGAAUAU